Molecule: unclassified non-coding RNA, 341 nt
Filed under: soil metagenome
Description: partial contains 5.8S ribosomal RNA, internal transcribed spacer 2, and large subunit ribosomal RNA
Rfam family: 5.8S ribosomal RNA (bases 1-120)
Source: RNAcentral
GAUGAAGAAGGCAGCGAAAUGCGAUAAGUUGUGUGAAUUGCAGAAUUCAGUGAAUCAUCGAAUCUUUGAACGCACAUUGCGCCCUUUGGUAUUCCAAAGGGCAUGCCUGUUCGAGCGUCAUUUGUACCCUCAAGCUUUGCUUGGUGUUGGGCGUCUUGUCUCUAGCUUUGCUGGAGACUCGCCUUAAAGUAAUUGGCAGCCGGCCUACUGGUUUCGGAGCGCAGCACAAGUCGCACUCUCUAUCAGCAAAGGUCUAGCAUCCACUAAGCCUUUUUUUCAACUUUUGACCUCGGAUCAGGUAGGGAUACCCGCUGAACUUAAGCAUAUCAAUAAGCGGAGCA